Molecule: regulatory RNA element, 164 nt
Organism: Pseudoalteromonas phenolica
Lineage: Bacteria; Pseudomonadati; Pseudomonadota; Gammaproteobacteria; Alteromonadales; Pseudoalteromonadaceae
Source: Rfam
CUCCCCUACCCCUUCUAUCUCGCCUGAAAAUAAGCAAUUGAUGAGUAAUGUCAGCGCAUGGAUGCGCUGCAAGGCUGAUUUAGUCCAUGGAUGGACUAUUCAGCCGUUUACGUUCACAUCAAUUGCAUUAUUUGAAGAAACAGCGAGAUAGAGGGGCGCCAUGG